RNAcentral lists this unclassified non-coding RNA (322 nucleotides) under soil metagenome. RNAcentral's name for it is "partial contains 5.8S ribosomal RNA, internal transcribed spacer 2, and large subunit ribosomal RNA". The stretch from base 5 to 119 matches the Rfam family "5.8S ribosomal RNA", at positions 40 to 154 of the family's 154-position model. The record is from RNAcentral.
GAUGAGAACGUAGCGAAAUGCGAUAAGUAAUGCGAAUUGCAGAAUUCAGUGAGUCAUCGAAUCUUUGAACGCACAUUGCGCCCUGUGGUAUUCCGCAGGGCAUGCCUGUUCGAGCGUCAUUUCAACCCUCAAGCUCUGCUUGGUGUUGGGCCCUGCCCGCUGCGGCCGGCCCUAAAGACAGUGGCGGUGCCGCCUGGCCCUGAGCGUAGUACAUCUCUCGCUCCAGUGCCCGGUGGUAGCCUGCCAGAACCCCAACUCUCGUGGUUGACCUCGGAUCAGGUAGGGAUACCCGCUGAACUUAAGCAUAUCAAUAAGCGGAGGA